AAACCUAGCACACCCUGCUGGCAUUAACAUGGUUGAUAACCAGGCUUUUCUGUAACAUUAUCAGCUCAAUCUAAAAGUUUCCUUGUAGGAACUAGAAGAUUUGUGAGUUCAAGUUGCAAAGAGGAGAGACUGGGAAGAAACGAAAAGGACAGCUUCAUCUCUGAGCUACAACUCUCCUAGAACAUAAAAAAAAUCUGUGGAAGCUAGCUGAGAAUUUUGCAAGCAUAUCGGAAUGGCAAAUCAACUGAGCAGCUCCCUGGCUCCAGCACAUGCAAACAUUUGAAUUUCCUGUUGGCUCAGAGUGUUUGCAUUGCAAGUGACAUCUGGCUGACAGGAUCUUGGAGAAAUGGGAUACGAAGUGAAUGCUGCAGUUACCACAGCAUCAUAUUUAUCAAAAGACUUAAGUCAGCCCUUGUCUUUGCUACUUCAGUCAUCUUUCCAGCCUCUGGAAGCACUGGAAUCCCCAGCCUUACUUCUGGAGCCCCUUUAAAAGCAGACUUCCUAAAAGCUCCUGCCAGAUGGUGCCGACUAAUGCUGAAAGUAUUUCUGCCCUGGCUGAGGUCAGCAGACCCUGAGCACUACUUUCAACGUUCAUGAAUCUCACAGAGCUGCUGCUGAGGUUGGACUGUCAGAAGAGGUGGUGAGUGCCUCCCGUGCUGACUGCGUGAUGACUUGGUGGUUAGGAAACAUGCUCAGGAGAUACCGAUUUGGGCAGUUGCAGGAGUAUUUCAAACCUUCUUGCCAGUGCUCAAACCACUGGGAUGUCAGAUUUAAAAAAAAAGAGCACUAGCAUAAAUCUCCAUUUAAAAAAAAGAGUAGGCCUGCUGUUUUCAAUGAAAGACUGUGGUGUGGACAAUUCUCUGGUGUAACUCCAGAAUAGCAACAG
RNAcentral lists this long non-coding RNA (886 nucleotides) under Calidris pygmaea (Spoon-billed sandpiper). RNAcentral's name for it is "lncRNA (ENSCPGG00000012670.1)". Lineage: Eukaryota; Metazoa; Chordata; Aves; Charadriiformes; Scolopacidae. The record is from RNAcentral.